Molecule: non-coding RNA, 72 nt
Organism: Phrynosoma platyrhinos (Desert horned lizard)
Lineage: Eukaryota; Metazoa; Chordata; Lepidosauria; Squamata; Phrynosomatidae
Source: the annotation of a GenBank genome assembly
UGGUGUGUGGCAUACUGGUUUGAGUGUUGGACUAUGACUCUAGAGACCAGGGUUCAAAUCCCCACUGAGCCA